GACGAACGCUGGCGGCGUGCUUAACACAUGCAAGUCGAACGGAAAGGCCCUGCUUUUGUGGGGUGCUCGAGUUGCGAACGGGUGAGUAACACGUGAGUAACCUGCCCUUGACUUUGGGAUAACUUCAGGAAACUGGGGCUAAUACCGGAUAGGAGCUCCUGCUGCAUGGUGGGGGUUGGAAAGUUUCGGCGGUUGGGGAUGGACUCGCGGCUUAUCAGCUUGUUGGUGGGGUAGUGGCUUACCAAGGCUUUGACGGGUAGCCGGGCUGAGAGGGUGACCGGCCACAUUGGGACUGAGAUACGGCCCAGCCUCCUACGGGAGGCAGAAGUGGGGAAUAUUGCACAAUGGGCGGAAGCCUGAUGCAGCAACGCCGCGUGCGGGAUGACGGCAUUCGGUUUGUAAACCGCUUUCGCCUGUGACGAAGCGUGAGUGACGGUAAUGGGUAAAGAAGCACCGGCUAACUACGUG
RNAcentral lists this ribosomal RNA (468 nucleotides) under uncultured bacterium. RNAcentral's name for it is "partial 16S ribosomal RNA". It matches the Rfam family "Bacterial small subunit ribosomal RNA", at positions 28 to 507 of the family's 1533-position model. The record is from RNAcentral.